This 380-nucleotide long non-coding RNA is filed under the name Salmo salar (Atlantic salmon). RNAcentral's name for it is "lncRNA (ENSSSAG00000083715.1)". The record is from RNAcentral. Lineage: Eukaryota; Metazoa; Chordata; Actinopteri; Salmoniformes; Salmonidae.
GGAGAGGAGAGGAGAGGAGAGGAAAUUAAAUGAGAGGAAAUUGCAGACAGAGUGGCUUAAUAACAGUUAGUGGAUUUUUUUCUUUCUCUCCUUCUUUUCUUUCCUUUUCUUUAGAACCAAAAUGGGUACUGAACCGUCAAAUGCCAUGGCGGAGAUCUCUCACCUUUACCUUGUCGCUGACGUAGCCUCGGCCACAGCCACACAACACAGCUAAUCAACCUUACCGUUUACCGGACACCGGCUUCCCAAACCCACUGCAGUCACUCGCUCCACUAAAGUCUCGCUGCAUGGAGAGAACAAAUCAAAAAGCCCCUUGAAUUGAAUUGAGAGAGAGAGAGGGUGGAGAAAAGGAGAGAGAGGGGGAUAGGUGGAGAGAGAGG